ACGAACGCUGGCGGCGUGCUUAACACAUGCAAGUCGAACGGAAAGGCCCAGCUUGCUGGGUGCUCGAGUGGCGAACGGGUGAGUAACACGUGGGUGAUCUGCCUCUAACUUCGGGAUAAGCUUGGGAAACUGGGUCUAAUACCGGAUAGGACAAUCGUUUAGUGUCGGUUGUGGAAAGUUUUUUCGGUUAGGGAUGAGCCCGCGGCCUAUCAGCUUGUUGGUGGGGUAAUGGCCUACCAAGGCGUCGACGGGUAGCCGGCCUGAGAGGGUGGACGGCCACAUUGGGACUGAGAUACGGCCCAGACUCCUACGGGAGGCAGCAGUGGGGAAUAUUGCACAAUGGGCGCAAGCCUGAUGCAGCGACGCCGCGUGGGGGAUGACGGCCUUCGGGUUGUAAACCUCUUUCGACAGGGACGAAGCUUUGGUGACGGUACCUGUAUAAGAAGCACCGGCUAACUACGUG
Molecule: ribosomal RNA, 463 nt
Filed under: uncultured bacterium
Lineage: Bacteria
Description: partial 16S ribosomal RNA
Rfam family: Bacterial small subunit ribosomal RNA
Source: RNAcentral